Long non-coding RNA from Sapajus apella (tufted capuchin), 3524 nucleotides. RefSeq lists it as uncharacterized. NCBI's taxonomy places the organism in Eukaryota, Metazoa, Chordata, Mammalia, Primates, Cebidae. The transcript has 2 exons. The record is from RefSeq and is a predicted model, not a curated record.
AAUGCAUAACUUUAUUAAAUAAAUGCUUUGUCAUGGCAAAAGUCAAAGAUCAAGGAGUAACAUAAAUUAUAAGUUGAAUAAAUAGUAUACAGAAGUCUUCUUCACCUUUUAAGAAAACGUGAGAUCAUUUGUUGGUUUGGUUUUUAUUUCCUUAAGUACAAAAUGCUAAACAGAGCAGAGCUCUUCCGCAUUCAGGUGUUUUUUUUUUUAUGCCCGCUUUUUUUUUUUUCUCACAAACUGGUUUUGUUUGUUGAUUUAUUUUUCCAUCCAUUUCACCAAUAAAGAUUAUCAUCAUUUAUUUUUGUUUUUAAAGUUGAAAACAAAAAAGAGAACAGAGCUAUGGUACGUAUGUUGUAUGUAAAACUAUAAAGAACUACAGUUAAUAUGUGCUGUGAUUAUUGCUGUCUUCCAAAAAAAAAAAAAUAAGAAAAGAAAAAAGCAACAUGAACAACCGGUAGGCGACUCGGAAUCUGAAGGAAUCUUGUCUGACAACGGUGCUAUCCAUGUGGGCUACUGUGUGAUGGUGGCGGUGGACGAGAGACUCCGGCUGGGACCGGAGGAGUGGGUGAACGGGCACAGGGAGGCUGGGGUCCCCUUCUCCUCGGACCCUCCCCGCCUUUUCUUUCCCCAUCCAAAAGGAUUUCCGGAGAGGAGGCCAGAGUCUGUGAAAUGGCUAAACUGUAUACUCCAUUAGAAAACCAGGAAAGUAUGUUUUAAAAAAGAAACAAAAGCCCAAGAGAAAAAAAAAGUGGAGAAACAGUGCAACGUAACUCUCGCACUUUAGUGGUUUUAAAAACACAGACAGUACAAGGCCCGGGUUGCUGGUUGGUGAAACCCCUGUUCCUCGUCCUCCUCCACUCUGCAGAACCGAGCCUCCUCUCUCCCGGAAGCCAGACGCGUCCUCUCUGACGCUACGGGGCUUCUUCUCCUUAGAGAGCUCUUCUCUGAGGUUCCCACCCUGGACCGAAGCCCUCUCGGGUGAGUGGAUGGGUCCGGGGUACUGUCCUGCUUUGAGGGGGGCCUGGCGGUUGCCGUGGCAGCCCUGUCUUGCUAACAGCUGGCUGGGGGGGAGGCCCACCCUCUAGAGGAGGCCAGCCCUGUGGGGGCGCCGUGGAGGCCACAGAGGUGGCGGUGGGGAGAUAGGGUGAGAGAGAAGGGGUGUCAUCAGAAAAGGACCUCCCGGGGCCUCCUGCACCUGCCUUCCUCCCCCUGCGGGGUCGGUAUCCCCAGGCCUGUCUGUCUAGGCCUGGCUGUCAGAGAAAUGCUCCAGUCUCUUCCUCCCCAGGGGCCCUGCCCUGCCGGGUGGGUCAGAGCAGGCCGAGGAAGGAGCGUCAGUCCUGGCUGGGCUUCCUUAUCUCCUGGCAGUAGUGGGAAAGACAGAGGCGUCUUCUCCACUGCCAGAGUCAGGAACGAGUCUAAAGGGGAUGGGAAGAGACCUUCUGUGGGUGUGGGUGUGCGAGUGGGCAGCACUUAGACCCGGAGCCAUUGAUAUCCUGGAGUCCAAGGUCUCUGGGUGAGCAGACAGUUGGCCAAAGGCCAGUCUGGAGUCAAGCAGCCCCCUGCUUAGAUUGCCACGCUCACACCUUUCCAAACCUGCCUCCCUCGCUCACACCCUGCCGUGGGGUAAGAGGUGCCAUCUUCCUUCAACGCCUCCCUUCCCAGGGUUUCCCCACCCUGGGCCCAGCCAGACCUCCUGGGAGGCUCAGUUCCAUGUGUCCAUGAAGGCCCAGCUUCUCCAGGGAGUGACCAACUGUCCAGGAGCACCCCCUGAACCCAGAAGAGACUCACAGGUUUGGGUGAGCAGGCAUGAACUUCGGAGACUGGAACAGUCUGGUGAACUCACACCAGGCCUUAAUCCCCAACCUCAAGGCUGGCAGCAGAAAGCCAAUGCGAGGGGCAGACGCCCACUCAGAGUCCAGACACAGUGGGUGAAGAGAGAGCUCCUCUCUGGAGUCAGGUCCAGGCUGGGAGGAAUGUCGGGGGAGCUUGUAGUUCCUGGCUCAGUCUUUUCUUAGGGGAGUGGCACCCCAGUAUCCGCUUGGCAGAUCUUAGUUGGAUGACUGCUCAAGAUGCAAAGGAAGAAUGGGUGGGAAGAGGGGUGGCGAGGAAGAGAUUUGGGAUACUGGCCUAAGACAUACGGAAACGUGAGUUGGGUUUAGGGGACAGUAGUGCAGAGAGAUGGGGUGUGCUGACUCGGCAGGUCAGGUCCCGUGCUGCUGGCCCUGCUGGGUCCCUUUGUCUCAGGAAGACUGAGCACUUCUCCUGUCCCCAGCCAACUGUCCUAUCCAGAGGCGUCGGACACAGCCCCCAAGUUCUAUAGCUGUAGGGUUUCCAUCCGUUGAAGCAGAUUUGCUUUUUUGCUAUUCCUCUUCCUAGCCCUAUGUUGGAGGCAGCCUCCACUGUGUCAUGCCAUUAGCAAAGAGUGAAGAGAGCUGUGUCCACGGCACGAAGGGGUCUCCUGGCCAGUGUCCAAGCCCCGCUUCCUGGAUAUCUUCAGCCUUAGAGGACAGUCACAAGGCCACCAUUGGUUGAGGAAGUCAUUGGAGAAUGGGAUUUUUCUUGGUUCAGAAUCUGGCUGCCAAGUGACAGCAUCCCUGAAUCCUGUGUUCCCUGCUUGUCUCAGCCUCCCUUCCAUCCUCCACCCCAGGGAGGAGGCAGGGACUGGCCAGAAUGGAGGACGAGCGGGAGAGACUCGUGGGCCUCCAUCCCUCAUCGCAGGCUGAAGGUGGGCACAUAGGCUUGCCUCUUCCAAAGCAUGGCCAGUUUCUGCUGAUUCUUGUUCCUAUCCGGCUUCUAAAGUCUGGCACCCUCCUAAAGUUACCCACCUUCCCUGGCUCUGUGGCCUGGAUUAAGCUCAUUUCUAUUUUACAACCCAUUCUCUCAUUUUCCUCUCUUUCCUCUCAAAUCCCAGAAGGCAUACAGGGUGGGGAAGCUAAGGCUUUUCCCCCUUUCUGCUGCUUUGUGCCAAAGCUAGAAUGGGACAGUCAGCCCCUGUCCCUGCAGCCCUCUCUUCCUCCCCACAUCUACUCUGGCCUGAACCGUCAAUCUUACUGUUGUGCAUCUAAACCGUUUUACCUCUCCCUCUGCCAUCUCUUCAGUCUCUCUCCUGCUCUGCUAGUGUGGAGAAGAGAGGCUUCCAAAAACGCAGGUUCUGUUCAGAUGAAAGGAGAAGGCUGGGGUGGGAUUGGGGGAUCCGUCAUGGACUGUUGGGCUCAUGCAGUGGGUGUCCAGAGACUGUGACUUCCUGAGGGUUUAAAGACUGAAAUGGGACUGAGGCGCGUGCCAUGUGCACCACUGAGGACUGGCCUGUGCCUGGCUCGGUGGGUGCAGAUGAACAUGCGUGGGGAAUCACUGUCAGGUCCAGCACUGUGCCCCACAAGACAGCUGAGUUUAUUGCUUACGGGAAACUCUGCCUCGAGGCAGGCAAAAAUGCUAUUACGGGUUGUAUGAGGAGAAUAUGGGUUUUCUCAGUUUUUCCAGAAUGAGGGAGCUCCUCAAUGCCCCUAUAGGAACUACUUUAAAAA